RNAcentral lists this ribosomal RNA (479 nucleotides) under uncultured bacterium. RNAcentral describes it as "bacterial SSU rRNA". It matches the Rfam family "Bacterial small subunit ribosomal RNA", at positions 29 to 507 of the family's 1533-position model. The record is from RNAcentral.
AACGAACGCUGGCGGCGUGGCUAAAACAUGCAAGUCGCACGCGAAAGUGGAGCAAUCCGCGAGUAGAGUGGCGAAAGGGUGAGGAAUAUAAGGGUAACGUACCCUGAGCACCGGGAUAGCUGCGGGAAACUGCGGGUAAUACCGGAUGAGACCACGACAUCACAAGAUGAUGCGGUCAAACGGUGGGGAUCCUUCGGGACCUAUCGGCUCGGGAGCGGCCCUUAUCCUAUCAGCUAGUUGGUGAGGUAACGGCCCACCAAGGCGACGACGGGUACCGGGACUGAGAGGUUGACCCGGCACAUUGGCACUGAGACACUGGCCAGACUCCUACGGGAGGCUGCAGUAACGAAUAUUGGGCAAUGGGCGAAAGCCUGACCCAGCGACGCCGCGUGUGGGAAGAAGUCCUUCGGGGCGUAAACUCCUGGACUGGGGGACGAGGAAGGACGGUACCCCAGUAGAAAGGGACGGCUAACUACGUG